UACGGAGGGUGCAAGCGUUAAUCGGAGUUACUGGGCGUAAAGGGCGCGUAGGCGGUGAGAUGAGUGUGAUGUGAAAGCCCUGGGCUUAACCUGGGAAGGGCAUUGCAAACGACCUGACUGGAGUAUAAGAGAGGGUGGCGGAAUUUCCGGUGUAGCGGUGAAAUGCGUAGAGAUCGGAAGGAACGUCAAUGGCGAAGGCAGCCACCUGGCUUAAUACUGACGCUGAGGCGCGAAAGCGUGGGGAGCGAACAGG
Molecule: ribosomal RNA, 253 nt
Filed under: uncultured bacterium
Lineage: Bacteria
Description: partial 16S ribosomal RNA
Rfam family: Bacterial small subunit ribosomal RNA
Source: RNAcentral